CAAGCCUAAAUUAGAAAUAAAAAAAUUAGGCUAUUGUAAAUAGAAAAUCAGAAAUUUUUGCUUGUUUGUUUCAUUUUACAAACAACUUUAUGCAACAGAACAAUUUUCAAUAAAAUUUUAACUUGAGAAACGUAAAAUACAAAACAAUCCGAUCGUAAGGAAACAAUAACAAACGGGUAUAUUCUAUGAUUCAGUUAAAAGAUUAAUGAAUGCAAAAAAUAUGAGAUCCGUGCCUUGGUACAGCGCGUGCACCAUUUUCAUAAUCAUUGCUAGUUUGCGCUACUAGUCUCGCUUGGUGCUGGCCAUAGAUGCUACUAGCGAAGUGCACAGUCUUCCUGAUACUAUCCAUAUCUAUGGUGCGAUAAAGUUAUUUUCUUACGUUUGCAAAGGUAAACAAUGAAUGUUUUUCAAAAUAAAAAAAUUAAAACGUAGUUUACCAGGAGGAAUAUAAGGAAAAAUUUGUGAAUUUUAGGACUUUUCCGCUACGUAAAAACGUAUGAAACGGGAAAUUAAUGAUUUUAUAAGUGUAUGUUCCGGGAAAGUAAACCAUUGUAAAUAUAGUAGUACUUUCGGCGGGACCAAAAUUAAUCGGCGUAUGAAACGGGAACGUAUCAUCGAGGUUCUACUGUAGUUGUAUUUUGUACGAUGGCGACUCAAAACUUAAUUCAAUACAAAUGAACAAGCAUUCCGGUAUCGAAAAAAAGUAUCGAACUUACAGUUUCGAUACUCGGUACUUUGCGAUACCGUCAAGUAUCGAAGGUAUCGAGGUAUCGAAGUAUCGAAAAUCCCAUCACUAGCAGCGACAUCCCACAGAGCAAGGAAAGGAAAACGUCGGACGACAGAGCAGGAGUAGUACCUGGAAUGCGCCUUGCCCGACGCGGCGAGCGGCGAGAAGGUGACCUCGAACAGCUGGUCCAU
Molecule: long non-coding RNA, 918 nt
Organism: Bacillus rossius redtenbacheri
Lineage: Eukaryota; Metazoa; Arthropoda; Insecta; Phasmatodea; Bacillidae
Exons: 3
Source: RefSeq, a predicted model, not a curated record